GACGAACGCUGGCGGCGUGCCUAAUACAUGCAAGUCGAGCGGACUUUCAAGAAGCUUGCUUUUUGAAAGUUAGCGGCGGACGGGUGAGUAACACGUGGGCAACCUGCCUGCAAGACGGGGAUAACUCCGGGAAACCGGGGCUAAUACCGGAUAAUAUCUUCCUUCGCAUGAAGGAAGGUUGAAAGGCGGCGCAAGCUGCCGCUUGCAGAUGGGCCCGCGGCGCAUUAGCUAGUUGGUGAGGUAACGGCUCACCAAGGCGACGAUGCGUAGCCGACCUGAGAGGGUGAUCGGCCACACUGGGACUGAGACACGGCCCAGACUCCUACGGGAGGCAGCAGUAGGGAAUCUUCCGCAAUGGACGAAAGUCUGACGGAGCAACGCCGCGUGAGCGAAGAAGGUCUUCGGAUCGUAAAGCUCUGUUGUCAGGGAAGAACAAGUACCGUUCGAACAGGGCGGUACCUUGACGGUGCCUGACCAGAAAGCCACGGCUAACUACGUG
Molecule: ribosomal RNA, 499 nt
Filed under: uncultured bacterium
Lineage: Bacteria
Description: partial 16S ribosomal RNA
Rfam family: Bacterial small subunit ribosomal RNA
Source: RNAcentral